AGUUCGCGAUGUGCUAGUGAACAAUAUGUAGGUUGAUGGUAUUUAACUCGUAGCUUGCGUUACAAAUGAAGAAAGUUGAUAUGAGUUUCAUACAUGAGUGAACAUUAUAUUAUUCAUAACGUUUUUAAAGCGAGAUUUCAGAUUUUCUUUAAUGAAAAUUGAAAAAAACUUAAAUUUUAAGAGUUGGAAGUAAUAAAAAAUUUUUAUUUGGAUAAUCUAAUAUAUAUAAUGUAAUUUGUUUUAGCAAUAUGUAAAUAUUUAUGAACAAAAAUAACAAGUUGUUAACGUGCUUGAAUAAUAUUUGAUCAUGUAUAAUUAUACAUCAUUUUAUUAGAAGAAAAAAAUUUUUCAAGAUUAUAUCGAAGAGAACGGAUAUCGAUUGUUCUUUCUAUGGAUAGGACACGGAUUUUUGUAUCGAUUAAGAUGCUUGUUUCAGUUUAUGGGCACGUUAAUGGGCACGGUAUUGCAUAACUCAUGGUUUGUGGAUUUGUCAUAUAUAACGAUUAACCUUGGCAGAAUGCCAGAGUUUCUCGUGAGUUCACGCCGGAAUUUGUGGUCUCAUGAAUAACCACCCACGCCUGGGUCUUCGUACUGUGACAUUCGACACGUACUCGACGAUUCACAAAACGAUGAUUCAAAUUCUAUUUAUAAGUAUAUUUUUAACGGAGAAUGUCCGGUGUCGAAAAAUAAAUUGCAAUCAAAAUUAAUAAAAAAUAACAGUGACGCGGUA
Long non-coding RNA from Apis cerana (Asiatic honeybee), 730 nucleotides. RefSeq lists it as uncharacterized. NCBI's taxonomy places the organism in Eukaryota, Metazoa, Arthropoda, Insecta, Hymenoptera, Apidae. The record is from RefSeq and is a predicted model, not a curated record.